UGUACGACAUAGGGCACUGGUCACCGACCUCCUCCCCCAGGGGUCGGCGCUAAGAGGGAACCCGGCGUAACUCCGGGGCGGCCCCGCCGCUGUAAAGGACGACGAGGAAGCUUUCCGCCACUGUGCCGUGUCUGGCUCGGGAAGGCCGCUUUCGAGGACGAAUCCUGAGCCAGAAGACCUGCCAGUGCCCGAGUCCGCGC
This 200-nucleotide non-coding RNA is filed under the name Gemmatimonas phototrophica. Lineage: Bacteria; Pseudomonadati; Gemmatimonadota; Gemmatimonadia; Gemmatimonadales; Gemmatimonadaceae. The record is from RNAcentral.